CGGAGGCGACCGCUAUUGGAGUUCGAUUAAGACAUGCGAGUCUGAGCAUUAGCUCGGCGUACCGCUCAGUAACACGUGGGUAACCUGCCCUACUGUUCGGAACAACCUCGGGAAACUGAGAACAAUGCCGAAUAGUCCACCACGCCUGGAACGGUGGGUGGAUGAAGGUAGGAUGGGCCUGCGGCGUAUCAGGUUGUAGGGGGUGUAAUGGACCUCCUAGCCAUCGACGCGUACGGGUGUUGGGAGACAUAGCCCGGAGAUGGAUUCUGAGACACGAAUCCAGGCCCUACGGGGCGCAGCAGUUACGAAAACUUGGCAAUGCGGGAAACCGUGACCAGGGAACUCCAAGUGAGUCUCUUUUAGGGGCUCUUUUCAUGACUCUAAAACGGUCUUGGAAUAAGGGGUGGGUAAGGACGGUGCCAGCCGCCGCGGUAAUACCGGCGCCUCAAGUGGUCGUCGCUUUUAUUGGGCCUAAAACGUCCGUAGCCGGUUUGGUACAUUCGUGGGUAAAUCAACUCGCUCAACGAGUUGAAUUCUGCGAGGACGGCCAGACUAGGGACCGGGAGAGGUGUGGGGAACUCUCAGGGUAGGGGUAAAAUCCUGUCAUCCUGAGAGGACCACCUGUUGCGAAGGCGCCACACUAGAACGGAUCCGACGGUCAGGGACGAAGCCUAGGGGCACGAACCGGAUUAGAUACCCGGGUAGUCCUAGGUGUAAACGCUGUGGACUUGGUGUUGGGGAAGACUAGAGCUUUCCCAGUGCCGUAGCGAAGGUGUUGAGUCCACUGCCAGGGGAGUACGGUCGCAAGGCUGAAACUUAAAGGAAUUGGCGGGG
RNAcentral lists this ribosomal RNA (834 nucleotides) under uncultured archaeon. RNAcentral describes it as "bacterial SSU rRNA". It matches the Rfam family "Archaeal small subunit ribosomal RNA", at positions 18 to 873 of the family's 1478-position model. The record is from RNAcentral.